Molecule: ribosomal RNA, 468 nt
Filed under: uncultured bacterium
Lineage: Bacteria
Description: partial 16S ribosomal RNA
Rfam family: Bacterial small subunit ribosomal RNA
Source: RNAcentral
GACGAACGCUGGCGGCGUGCUUAACACAUGCAAGUCGAACGGAAAGGCCCUGCUUUUGUGGGGUGCUCGAGUGGCGAACGGGUGAGUAACACGUGAGUAACCUGCCCUUGACUUUGGGAUAACUUCAGGAAACUGGGGCUAAUACCGGAUAGGAGCUCCUGCUGCAUGGUGGGGGUUGGAAAGUUUCGGCGGUUGGGGAUGGACUCGCGGCUUAUCAGCUUGUUGGUGGGGUAGUGGCUUACCAAGGCUUUGACGGGUAGCCGGCCUGAGAGGGUGGCCGGGCACAUUGGGACUGAGAUACGGCCCAGACUCCUACGGGAGGCAGCAGUGGGGAAUAUUGCACAAUGGGCGGAAGCCUGAUGCAGCAACGCCGCGUGCGGGAUGACGGCCUUCGGGUUGUAAACCGCUUUCGCCUGUGACGAAGCGUGAGUGACGGUAAUGGGUAAAGAAGCACCGGCUAACUACGUG